AGCGAACGCUGGCGGCAGGCCUAACACAUGCAAGUCGAACGAACCUUUCGGGGUUAGUGGCGGACGGGUGAGUAACCCGUGGGAACGUGCCUUUAGGUUCGGAAUAACUCAGGGAAAAUUGUGCUAAUACCGACUGUGCUCUUCGGGGGGAAGAUUAAUCGCCUUUAGAGCGGCCUGCGUCGGAUUAGCUAGUUGGUUGAGGUAAUGGCUCACCAAGGCGACGAUCAGUAGCUGGUCUGAGAGGAUGAUCAGCCACAUUGGGACUGAGACACGGCCCAAACUCCUACGGGAGGCAGCAGUGGCGAAUCUUGCGCAAUGGGCGAAAGCCAGACGGAGCCAUGCCGCGUGAAUGAUGAAGGUCUUAGGAUUGUAAAAUUCUUUCACCGGGGACGAUAAUGACGGUACCCGGAGAAGAAGCCCCGGCUAACUUCGUG
RNAcentral lists this ribosomal RNA (434 nucleotides) under uncultured bacterium. RNAcentral describes it as "partial 16S ribosomal RNA". It matches the Rfam family "Bacterial small subunit ribosomal RNA", at positions 29 to 507 of the family's 1533-position model. The record is from RNAcentral.